UUUCAUCAGACUCCUCCCACCAGUUGGGGGAAGGGAGGAUCUAUCACAAACGUUAUUUGAGAACCUACUAAUUUGUGCAACAACCUCCUCCUGGGGUUACAAGGGUUAACUAGUCCUGGUAUUUAAUGAGGCCAGUCUGGUAAGUCCACAGGCCAUUAACUACAGCUGACAGGGCAGAGGCUCCACAGCUAUGGCCCCGCAGAAGGGGGAUUCUGUAGGAUUUUCUGUAGGACUUCCUGUAGGAUUUCUGAAGAACAAGUAGUAGAUGGCCAGGAUGAGUACAUUUAUAUUAAAAUCUUGAUAUAUUGGGGGUAUAGAAGGUAGUAAUACAUUUUAAAUGUGGUCAGAAGAGGAUUUUCUGAAAUUAAAAAAAAAUUUUUUUUGAGAGUAACUUUCUUGGCCAAUAACAAGUGUUUUAUGAGGCCCUGGUAAUUUGUCUUAACCAAUAUUUUAUUUUAAAAAAUUAGGAUCCUUACAAAGAGAAAUUGCUUUUGAAAUACCCCCCCCCCCUUCUUAGUUCCUAUUGCAUUUGUUAUCAUAUUAUCUCAAAACACGUCAGUAAGAGACUGAUACCGAAGGGCUUUGAAGCAAGAAGAGUCUUCCUAGUCUUGAAUCUAAGGUAAUUUAAAGUGUCAGAUCAGUAGGCAUCCAGGGGUUUGUUCAAGAACAAAGCUUUACCUAUUGCCUGGUCUUAUGCAUUUUAAUGCACCGUACAUUAAGAAUAAAGAAAGAAGGUCUUUUUUUAUUAAUUAAAAUUCUUUCGCAGAAUUUUCACAAAAACAUUUUAUAACUCAGGCAAUUAAGUACGGUGUUUGUUGUUGUUGUUGUUUUUAGAAGAAUGACUCUGGCUUUGAAAAGCAUUCUUCCAGAAACUUAAAGUUUGCCAACUGCUUCCAGGUUUUGAUAUAUUUCUCAGGUUAAAAGGUUAUCACAGUAGGGAGCAUCAGAAAGAAGGUAAAUUUUACCUAGAAAACAAUUCUAUUUUUGUACUGAAAAUUGAAUUUGUCUUUUUAGACAGAAUAAAUUUACAUUUCAAACAGCAAAGGAAAUUCUGUAGAGGAUCCCUACCACAUUUAGACACAAAUUAUCUAUAGUCUACCACCUUUAGUGACCUCUUUGCCAAUUAUCCUGCAGAGAAACUCUACUUAUAUGGGCAUUUAAGCACCAUGAGGAAUGCAUGACUAAUUUUUAGAGACAAACAGUCUAGAAUACAAUAAGCUGUGGGUUAUAUGUCCAAAAUCUAUUUUUUCUGAAGAGGGCAGACUAAGGCCAUUGAGAUGAACAUAAAGUGAGUAAGUAAACAGUCACAGGUGUUGGUGGAAGUGACAGGAGCUCACACUGUGAGCCCAAAGUCUAGGCUGCUAUAGAGUGGCCUGCAGAUGCCACUCCCAAGGGUGAGCCAGAUGCCUGUUAUCCUCCAGGAGACUGUCAAGGUCAAAUACACCUCGCCGCUCGUCCCUGUCUUCAUCCAUCAACGCUGAACUCUCGUCCUUGACUCGACCUUAAACUUUACUUCCCACCUCUCCACACAUCAUUUCCCUGCAUCUUCAGGGACUGCUAGUCCAUAUAACUCUCUCAUU
Long non-coding RNA from Pipistrellus kuhlii (Kuhl's pipistrelle), 1580 nucleotides. RefSeq lists it as uncharacterized. The transcript has 2 exons. NCBI's taxonomy places the organism in Eukaryota, Metazoa, Chordata, Mammalia, Chiroptera, Vespertilionidae. The record is from RefSeq and is a predicted model, not a curated record.